Molecule: long non-coding RNA, 909 nt
Organism: Sebastes umbrosus (honeycomb rockfish)
Lineage: Eukaryota; Metazoa; Chordata; Actinopteri; Perciformes; Sebastidae
Exons: 2
Source: RefSeq, a predicted model, not a curated record
CAGAGCCAUGAGGAGGAGCAGAAGUCUCUCAGAACACUUGAAUUACAAUAUGCUGAAAGGUGCUGCUGUUUCUUCAAGAGGAGGAAGAGGAAAGCUCUCCAGAGACACAAAUGAAGACGAGAGAGAAACCCUGGUCUCUUUGUGCUUUCUCUCUCUCUCUCUCUCUCUCUCUCUCUCCGUCUCUAGCCCUCUUCAUAUAACACUCUCUUUCUCCCUCAGUCCCCCCCCCUUCUGACCCUCAUUCUCUGCUGUCGGAGGUCCUGUAGUUUACCUUGGGUCGGCUGGACUGGCUGGACCACCGGGCAGCAGAAGAUGUUUGCUGAGCUGAUCUACUGGUUUUCGCUGCUCUGGAAUGAGCAGACAGACAGUAACGCGUUUGCUGUUCCACCUCGGAGCUUUAACUGUGGACUAGCUGUACCAGCGGUGGAGUCUUCGUGUAUUUAUGGUCACAAACUGAAACUGGAUCAACACAAACUGCUUGGGGGGGGGGGGACAAGUGACCACAAACACACAGUUGAUAGACUGAUUGGCUGACAGACUGGAUUCAGCUGGUUUCUGGCUAUGUUUUUGUUGUGUUUUUUUCUUCCUUACUGACUGGUUCAGAGGAGUGUAUUUCUGUGGAGAUGGACAACAAAAGGAUGGGAAGCAUCGAGACUGUCGGACCACACAAAACACACACACACACACACACAUAUGUACAAACACGCUGCACACUUUCUCGAGCUCAUCGUAAAGAGACUUCAUGGACAAAAAGAUGCAGCUCUCGCACAUAGUCUAUAAAGUUUUUAUUCCCUCGGGUCAAAGGAAGUACACAUUGAGCGGCUUGGUCUAUUUCCUGCAACGGAUUGAGCUCCGUGUACUUCUCAGACACAUUCACCCCCCCCCAAGAGGAAGACAAACCCUCACAAC